UACGUAGGGUGCAAGCGUUGUUCGAAAUCACUGGGCGUAAAGCGCGUGUAGGCGGUUUGUUAAGUCUAAUGUGAAAGCCCGGAGCUUAACUCCGGAAGUGCAUCGGAUACUGGCAAACUAGAGGACAGAAGAGGGAAGUGGAAUUCCUGGUGUAGGGGUGAAAUCCGUAGAUAUCAGGAGGAACAUCAGUGGCGAAGGCGGCUUCCUGGUCUGUUUCUGACGCUCAGACGCGAAAGCAUGGGGAGCAAAC
This 250-nucleotide ribosomal RNA is filed under the name uncultured bacterium. RNAcentral describes it as "partial 16S ribosomal RNA". It matches the Rfam family "Bacterial small subunit ribosomal RNA", at positions 524 to 773 of the family's 1533-position model. The record is from RNAcentral.